AUUGAACGCUGGCGGAAUGCUUUACACAUGCAAGUCGAACGGCAGCACGGGGGCAACCCUGGUGGCGAGUGGCGAACGGGUGAGUAAUACAUCGGAACGUGCCCGGUCGUGGGGGAUAACGUAGCGAAAGUUACGCUAAUACCGCAUACGAUCUGAGGAUGAAAGCGGGGGACCUUCGGGCCUCGCGCGAUCGGAGCGGCCGAUGUCAGAUUAGGUAGUUGGUGGGGUAAAGGCCUACCAAGCCGACGAUCUGUAGCUGGUCUGAGAGGACGACCAGCCACACUGGGACUGAGACACGGCCCACUCCUACGGGAGGCAGCAGUGGGGAAUUUUGGACAAUGGGCGCAAGCCUGAUCCAGCCAUUCCGCGUGCAAGACGAAGGCCUUCGGGUUGUAAACUGCUUUUGUAUGGAACGAAAAGGCUCUGGCUAAUACCUGGGGCUCAUGACGGUACCGUAAGAAUAAGCACCGGCUAACUACGUG
Molecule: ribosomal RNA, 482 nt
Filed under: uncultured bacterium
Lineage: Bacteria
Description: partial 16S ribosomal RNA
Rfam family: Bacterial small subunit ribosomal RNA
Source: RNAcentral